CGGGGGUACACGAGCGGCGAACGGGUGAGUAACACGUGAGUGACCUGCCCCUGACUCCGGGAUAAGCGGUGGAAACGCUGUCUAAGUACCGGAUAUCGACCUUCCGUCGCAUGGCGGGGGUGGAAGGCCUUGUGCGGUUGGGGAUGGGCUCGCGGCCUAUCAGCUUGUUGGUGGGGUAACGGCCUACCAAGGCGAUUACGGGUAGCCGGCCUGAGAGGGCGACCGGCCACACUGGGACUGAGACACGGCCCAGACUCCUGCGGGAGGCAGCAGUGGGGAAUCUUGCGCAAUGGGCGAAAGCCCUGACGCAGCGACGCCGCGUGGGGAUGACGGCCUUCGGGGUUGUAAAACCUCUUUUACCACUAACGCAGGCUCGGGGUGUUCUCCGGGUUGACGGUAGGUGGGGAAUAAGGACCGGCUAACUACGUGCCAGCCGCCGC
Molecule: ribosomal RNA, 440 nt
Filed under: uncultured bacterium
Lineage: Bacteria
Description: bacterial SSU rRNA
Rfam family: Bacterial small subunit ribosomal RNA
Source: RNAcentral